GUCAUUUAUAGUUUAACAAAUUAAUCACUCAUUGCUACUUUGUUUCAGGUGGCUUGUGACAACUUGGGUUGAUUUUUACAUAUACUUCGCUGUUUUAUCGACUUGGAUCGUUUACAAGGAGUCCACCUGGUGUAGAUCCCUACUUUGGAUAUUUUUCUUUGGGGUUUUUGGCAACCCUGUUUUAAGUAUCUACAUUCUUAUGC
Long non-coding RNA from Humulus lupulus (European hop), 203 nucleotides. RefSeq lists it as uncharacterized. The transcript has 3 exons. The record is from RefSeq and is a predicted model, not a curated record. Lineage: Eukaryota; Viridiplantae; Streptophyta; Magnoliopsida; Rosales; Cannabaceae.